GACGAACGCUGGCGGCGUGCUUAACACAUGCAAGUCGAACGGAAAGGCCCUGCUUUUGUGGGGUGCUCGAGUGGCGAACGGGUGAGUAACACGUGAGUAACCUGCCCUUGACUUUGGGAUAACUUCAGGAAACUUGGGCUAAUACCGGAUAGGAGCUCCUGCUGCAUGGUGGGGGUUGGAAAGUUUCGGCGGUUGGUGAUGGAAUCGCGUCCUAUCAGCUUGUUGGUGGGGUAGUGGAUUACCAAGGCUUUGCCGGGUAGCCGGCCUGAGAGGGUGACCGGCCAAAUUGGGCCUGAGAUACGGCCCAGACUCCUACGGGAGGCAGCAGUGGGGAAUAGUGCACAAUGGGCGGAAGCCUGAUGCAGCAACGCAGCGUGCGGGAUGACGGCCUUCGCGUUGUAAACCGCUUUCGCCUGUGACGAAGCGUGAGUGACGGUAAUGGGUAAAGAAGCACCGGCUAACUACGUG
RNAcentral lists this ribosomal RNA (468 nucleotides) under uncultured bacterium. Its description in RNAcentral is "partial 16S ribosomal RNA". It matches the Rfam family "Bacterial small subunit ribosomal RNA", at positions 28 to 507 of the family's 1533-position model. The record is from RNAcentral.